This 163-nucleotide unclassified non-coding RNA is filed under the name uncultured Xylariales. RNAcentral describes it as "sequence contains ITS1". The record is from RNAcentral. Lineage: Eukaryota; Fungi; Ascomycota; Sordariomycetes; Xylariales.
UAGAGUUUUCUAAACUCCCAACCCUUUGUGAACUUACCUUUGUUGCCUCGGCGGGGCCUACCCGGGAACGACCCCUUUUGGGCGAAGUUACCCUGUAGCCCGCCGGUGGAUUUCAAACUCUUGUUAUUUUAUUGUUAUCUGAACGUCUUAUUUUAAUAAGUCA